GGAGAAGCAGAAGUUCCAGAACUUACAUCUACCUAGAGAGGUUUGUCUAACCAGCCUGGCUGAGGACAGAAGAUUUUCUGGGGGAAAGGAAACUUGACUUGCCAAAGGAUAGGAGCCAAUGGAUUUUGCAAUCCUGUAAAACUAAGAUGAGCACUUCCUUCCUUUUGGCACCACGAUACUCCAAGAUCCUUCUGUAUUUUGCUUGUCUCAGCUCUGGAACCAACCACUUCUCCAAGAUCCAAGAAUCUAAGAUCAGCACACUAUAUGUGCUCACUGCUACUGGAGUAUCAUUCUUCUCCAUAGAAAGAGCUAAGAAAUAUA
Long non-coding RNA from Canis lupus familiaris (dog), 321 nucleotides. RefSeq lists it as uncharacterized. The transcript has 3 exons. Lineage: Eukaryota; Metazoa; Chordata; Mammalia; Carnivora; Canidae. The record is from RefSeq and is a predicted model, not a curated record.